This 66-nucleotide transfer RNA is filed under the name Ombrastacoides huonensis. Its description in RNAcentral is "tRNA-Tyr". It matches the Rfam family "tRNA". Rfam says of the family: Transfer RNA (tRNA) molecules are approximately 80 nucleotides in length. Their secondary structure includes four short double-helical elements and three loops (D, anti-codon, and T loops). Lineage: Eukaryota; Metazoa; Arthropoda; Malacostraca; Decapoda; Parastacidae. The record is from RNAcentral.
GAUAAGGUGGCUGAGAAUGCAGGCGUUAGACUGUAAAUCUAAAGACAAGUUAAUCCUUUCUUAUCA